GUUUAAAUAGUUUAAUAAAAAUACUGGUUUGUGGCAUCAGUGAUAUAAUUCUUUAUUUUAGACA
RNAcentral lists this transfer RNA (64 nucleotides) under Xixuthrus sp. ANIC_25-067096. RNAcentral's name for it is "tRNA-His". The record is from RNAcentral. Lineage: Eukaryota; Metazoa; Arthropoda; Insecta; Coleoptera; Cerambycidae.